GAAAUUUUACUUCAUAAUCACGUAGUCAUAGUGGAUGUGGAGUGGGGAAAGGGAAGUGAGGAAGUGAGAAUAUUAUAUGACAGAUUAUUUGAUAACAUGUCACCUUUAGUGAGUGUUAGUGUGUGUAAUAGUGAGUGUGGUUGAAGGAGCAGUGAUACGUGGCGCUGGGGAGGGAGAGCGGGUGGCUGGCUGGCUGGCUACAUUGUUUUGGUCAACACUGGUCAGUCUUGCCCCACACGCUGUUUUAAACCAGUGUUUCCGGAUUCCCGGCAGCUUUUCCCUGUACCGAGCACCGCCAAGCAGCACCAGAGAGGCAGGAAUACGUAAGCAUGAUGAGAUGGAGGUUUUAACUCCACCACCACCACCCACCACUACUGUGACUUACACCAGCACCGUAGCCACUAUCACCUCUUCAACAGCACUUGAACCAUCUCCGCCACCAGCACCACAGCCACUUCCUCUACCACCACCACCACCACCAAGAACACAUUUGAGGCAGUGAAUGGGAAUAUGGAGAUCUGUGUUGAAAGUUAUUUAAGAUUUGAAAGCAUGGUGUUGUAGGCUUGCCCUUGCUGGCUCAUGGCAGGAGAGGCGGCACUGCUUAGCUGGUGCUGCCUGCCCUUGUUGUUGCAGUGCCAUAACUCAUUCAAUUUCCAGUUUCUGCUGUAACCAAGCUUGUACUGUAGCGAUACAAGGCAUGGCAUCCAGUGUUGACAGACACCCAUCAAGCAAUAUGUUGAAGUGGUUAUCAAGUCAGAGGUUUUAGCUUUUAAAUACUCCAAGUAGGUCACUUGCCACACUCUUCCUUUACCACACCAAGCAUAAUGAUUAACUUAAGUGCUCUUACCGUGGAAUUACAGCAUCACACGUUCUGUCAGUUCUUUUAGGUGGUUCCUUUAGCCAUCAUUACAAGUCCAAUAAAACAGACCUCCAAUGUUUAAUACUUUAGGCUGUGAUGUGGUUUGGACUCUGCAGCCACCAGCCAAACAUUUGUGCUGCCUAAGGGAAUGUUGAAAAGAAUUUUGUUGUCGUUGUUUUCUCGCCAAGGAUACCUCAAGUGUCCGGCACACACUCUUAUACACUUGGCCAAAACAUUAUGUCGCCCCUCUGUACCAGCCUGGCAGGUUUAGGGAAAUGUGUACUGCUUGUGGCUUUAGGAUGAUGCUUUGUGGUAUGUAAUGUGAUGAGGGACAUACUGCAGUUGUAACAAGAUGCAUCCAGCAACCACUCAAAAGCAACACUAUAUCACUGCAACACAACCUUGGCGGCUGGCACAGUGGGGUGGAGAUAAUACUUUGCUGAAUAGUCAGGCAGUUGACGAUAACAAAAGUCACAUCACCUCACUUUCUACCACAAAGCCAGUAUUGAGUGACAAAAGACACCCUUCUAUGUCAUUGGAAUACACCAAGGUUUUUGUUCUAUGUGGAUUCAGAAUGAGUGAAUGUAUUACCAGUAUAACAAAAAAUUUCAUAAUGUGAGAUAAAAAUUACUGUAACACAACCCUCCCUGGACACUCAAGAAGCAGAAAAUAUAGGGAAAAUAUAUUGGAAGAAAAAGAAAGCCCAUAUACUAUGACUGUCUCCUCCCUGGACACUCAAGAGGCAAAAAAUAUAAGUUCUUGUGUAUUGUAAGAGAAAGAAAGCCUCAUAUUAUGACCAUUCCCUGCCUGAUCACUCAGAACAAGAAGAGAUGUGACUUGACUUGUUGACGGUCCUGGCUAUCAGACUUCCUUAGAGUGUUGUGAGGCCUUCCAGCAUCCCUGUAAUGUUGUCUUUGCCUUAGGAAGUGACAGAAAUACAACGCCAGAGGAGAGGAGGUCUGUACAGCAGCAGCCUCCUUUCCGUGUAUUGGUAGGGUCUAUUUUUCUGCUUUCUGUGUAUUUUUUAAACUGGAGGGGCAGGAAGAAAGUCCAUCUGGCCCUCACAUGUGACUUCCCUCUGAUGUGCAUGUUGUAAAUAUUGUUGGUAUUUGAAUCUAUUCCAGUAUCAGGUCCUUUUUAUUUCAUCUCAACUGGAGUAGAUAACUGAUGAAUAAAAAUGAUUUUCUCUUGGUA
Molecule: long non-coding RNA, 2053 nt
Organism: Scylla paramamosain (green mud crab)
Lineage: Eukaryota; Metazoa; Arthropoda; Malacostraca; Decapoda; Portunidae
Exons: 2
Source: RefSeq, a predicted model, not a curated record